AAUGUUUGAUUGUAAUAAUUCCUUUGGGAUAGUCUCACUUUCAGCUGCUUGAUUAAACAUUUCAGUAAGAGGUUUUAAAAGAUAAGAUUUCAUAUAUUUAUAAUAAAGAUUUGAAAAACCAUCAGGGCCAGGAGUUUUAUUUAUAGCUAAUCUAUCAAUUUGCAAUUGGACUUCCUCCAUUGAGAUUUUUUUAUUCAAAAUGGUCAGAUCCUGGGAAGAAAUUCUGGGAAUUCGAGACUGUAAUAAAUAAUUUUUAAUGUCCUUUAUUUCUGGGGAUAGCCUUAAAUUGUAUAGAUCUUGAUAAAAUUGAUUAAACUUUUGACCAAUCUCCAAUGGAGUGGAGUAUACAGUUUGAUCCACUACCAAUUUUUCUACUCUAUUUUUGGCAUAUUGAUUACGAAGCCUUCUAGUGAGACUCUUACUCGCUCUAUUACCCGAGAUGUAGUAAUUUAGUUUUAAUUUAUUUAUAUUUGACCUUAUUUUCUCCUCUUCCUUUAAAUUAAUUUGGAGUUGUAGAUCCUUUAACUGAGUUCUCAGCUCAAAAGAAGAUUGUAUUUUAUUCAAUUUGGAACAUGAAUAGAAUUCAAUAUAUAAGUCGGAC
Molecule: non-coding RNA, 601 nt
Organism: Pelobates cultripes (western spadefoot toad)
Lineage: Eukaryota; Metazoa; Chordata; Amphibia; Anura; Pelobatidae
Source: the annotation of a GenBank genome assembly